CUCACUGUUGCUUUCUGAGAGGGCUUGCCAAUUACAUGAUGUGCUAUUAUAUUUUUAUUUGAGCCUCUGUUUUCAGUGGAACCAAAUGAAGAUGUUUAUCUUCCACAAAUUCGUGAAUGAACCAAUCAGUAAGUGCUUUUAAAAAAUCAAUUUAAAUUUAGUUUUUAAAAUAAUCCCAUCUCUGUAUCUACAGAUAUCAGCCUUUAUCAUCAUCACCGCAUCAUCGUCACCAUGCUUAUUGUUCAUGUAUCAUCACGGUUAUAGAGCCCGAGAACUAAAGAAAGGAAUUUUCCAUUUGAUAUUUUCGGUUCACGGUGACUGGAGGAAGUUGAAACCUCAGAAAACUAAACCAUGA
This is a long non-coding RNA of Fukomys damarensis (Damara mole-rat), 355 nucleotides long. NCBI's taxonomy places the organism in Eukaryota, Metazoa, Chordata, Mammalia, Rodentia, Bathyergidae. The record is from Ensembl.